This is a long non-coding RNA of Oncorhynchus kisutch (coho salmon), 485 nucleotides long. RefSeq lists it as uncharacterized. The transcript is spliced from 3 exons. NCBI's taxonomy places the organism in Eukaryota, Metazoa, Chordata, Actinopteri, Salmoniformes, Salmonidae. The record is from RefSeq and is a predicted model, not a curated record.
GUCAACGGAUUAUGCAUUUGAUGAUGCCCUGGUCAAAUCAUUAACUAGGGAACUACUAGCUAAAUGCAAUGAGGCUAGCUCUUCACCUCCCUCCAUGACACAGUUGUCAUCACACAAUGUACUUGGCCGUGACGAGGUAGGUAAUUCUGGGCUUCCAACAACUUGUAGAAAGGAAAAGAAGAGAGGAAGAUUCAGCGCUCUCUGUGGACUCAACCCAAAGUGUACAAAGAAGGUCAACAAGAAGAACCACUGCACUCCAACACCUUCCCAGAACCAGACCCCUGCCGUCAGUGAAACAGCAAUUGUCAAUGAUCAAGAAACCUGCCGAACAGAGAGUGUAUGCUCCACCAAGAAGAAACCAAGGAAGCGUUCGCUCAUUUCCAGGAUGUUUUCAGCUAUAGGCAAAGCCUUGUCCAGUCCCUUUACUUCCUGCUAUAAAAAGAAGAGCACCUAAUCUAUAUUUCAAAAUAAAUAUUUGAAAUUAA